Molecule: ribosomal RNA, 253 nt
Filed under: uncultured bacterium
Lineage: Bacteria
Description: partial 16S ribosomal RNA
Rfam family: Bacterial small subunit ribosomal RNA
Source: RNAcentral
UACGUAGGGUGCGAGCGUUGCCCGGAUUUAUUGGGCGUAAAGGGCGCGUAGGCGGUUGAUCAAGUCUGGGGUGAAAUCUUUCGGCUUAACCGGAAAAGUGCCUUGGAUACUGGUCAGCUGGAGGGAGGUAGGGGCAGUUGGAACUUCCAGUGGAGCGGUGAAAUGCGUUGAUAUUGGAAGGAACGCCGGUGGCGAAAGCGAGCUGCUGGACCUCUUCUGACGCUGAUGCGCGAAAGCUAGGGGAGCAAACGGG